This 1191-nucleotide ribosomal RNA is filed under the name Triticum aestivum (bread wheat). Its description in RNAcentral is "partial small subunit ribosomal RNA". Lineage: Eukaryota; Viridiplantae; Streptophyta; Magnoliopsida; Poales; Poaceae. The record is from RNAcentral.
AUGGGCGUAUGGCUAACCGUGCUGCCACGGCGGCGAGCAGCGGCCGUGUGCAGGGCCGCCGGCGAGCCGCUGGCCGUGGAGGAGGUGGUCGUGGACCCGCCCAAGGCGCACGAGCUCCGGCUCAAGAUCGUCUGCACCUCGCUCUGCCACAGCGACGUCACCUUCUGGCGCAUGAAGGACUUCCCCGGCGUCUUCCCGAGGAUUUUUGGCCACGAAGCGUUCGGGGUGGUGGAGAGCGUGGGCGAGCACGUGGAGGGCUUCGCGGCGGGGGACGCGGUGGUGCCGACGUUCCUGGCGCAGUGCAGCGAGUGCGCGGACUGCAGGUCGCCGCGGAGCAACGUGUGCUCCAAGUACCGGUUCGCGGUGCGCCCGGGGAUGCCCCGCGACGACACCACCCGCUUCCACGACGGCGAUGGGAACCCCAUCCACCACCUGUUCGGCGUGUCCAGCUUCAGCGAGUACACCGUGGUGGACGUGACCCAGGUCGUCAAGGUCGCCCCCGCCGUGCCGCCGGCCACCGCCUGCCUCCUCAGCUGCGGCGCCACCACCGGGGUCGGAGCGGCAUGGAAGCUGGCCAAGGUCGAGCCGGGAUCUUCGGUUGCUAUCUUCGGCCUCGGCGCCGUGGGAUUGGCGGUGGCUGAAGGCGCCAGGAUUUGCGGGGCGUCGAAGAUCAUCGGCGUGGACUUGAACCCCGAUAAACAAGAGCUCGGAAAGAAGUUCGGCGUGACACAUUACAUCAACCCGAAAGAACUUGGGGAGAAAACUGUGAGCCAGGUGAUCAUCGAGAUGACCGACGGCGGCGCCGACUACUGCUUCGAGUGCAUCGGCCUGGCGGCGCUCAUGAACGAUGCCUUCCAGAGCUCCCGGCCGGUAUGCACACACACACACACACACACACACACACACACACACACACACACACACACACACAUUCGUCCCUCUGUCAUGCAAAGAUGGAUUUCACUUCCUGACAUGGCUCUGCCGACGCAGGGAUGGGGCAAGACGAUCAUCCUCGGGGUGGAGAUGCACGGCGCCCCUCUCACCAUAUCUUCGCUGGAGAUCCUCCACGGGAAGUGCGUCAUGGGGUCGCUCUUCGGAGGCGUGAAGCCCAAGCAGGACAUCCCGAUCCUCGCCGACAAGUACCUGAACAAGGUGACACUCAUCAGACUGUCGAUGUUCGAGAGGUUUUGA